GAGUGUUGGCAUGAGUCAUUAUUCCUUUCUAUAUUUGUAGAGAUCCCUUAAUUCAAGGAAUCCUAUAAUUUAGCCAUACAUCAAGGCGUGUCCAAGGGCAACAUCCCUGUAAUCUAGCCGUGUGUCAAGGCAUGUCCAAGGUUAGCCAAAAAUCUUGUAUGUUUAUAUAUAACUCUUGUCUCCUGUAUGUAUUUUGAACAAUAACAAGGAUGAAUAUAAAAUAAAUUCAUUAUUUUAUCUUUUGACAGAGCCUAUGCAGACAGCAGUCUAACUAACCUAAGCAUAUCCAAAAGGGAUAUUGCUGUCCGAGAUGGGUGCUGCUUUUGUUGGCCGAAGUUUUUGAGGGACUCAAUCCUUAGCAUAAUCCACAAGGGAUGUUGCUGCUUGAUGGGGCGAAGCUAUCAUGCUUCCUUGAGGAACAGAUAAUAAACAAAUCACUCAAGAAUUGUUUGGACAUCUGUUUGAGGUUGUUCUUGGCUUAACAAAACGCCAUGCUGGAUUAAGCUCUUAACUUUCAGAAAAAGUUUGAUUACGGAUAU
Molecule: long non-coding RNA, 539 nt
Filed under: Manihot esculenta (cassava)
Lineage: Eukaryota; Viridiplantae; Streptophyta; Magnoliopsida; Malpighiales; Euphorbiaceae
Description: long non-coding RNA (MESC_LNC002150)
Source: RNAcentral